UGGGGAAUAUUGCACAAUGGGCGCAAGCCUGAUGCAGCAAUGCCGCGUGAGUGAAGACGGCCUUAGGGUUGUAAAACUCUUUCGCUAGGGAAGAUAAUGACGGUACCUAGUAAAGAAGUCCCGGCUAACUCCGUGCCAGCAGCCGCGGUAAUACGGAGGGGACUAGCGUUGUUCGGAAUUACUGGGCGUAAAGAGUUCGUAGGCGGACUAGCAAGUUGGGGGUGAAAUCCCGGGGCUCAACCCCGGAACUGCCUCCAAAACUAUUGGUCUAGAGUUCGAGAGAGGUGAGUGGAAUUCCAAGUGUAGAGGUGAAAUUCGUAGAUAUUUGGAGGAACACCAGUGGCGAAGGCGGCUCACUGGCUCGAUACUGACGCUGAGGUGCGAAAGUGUGGGGAGCAAACAGGAUUAGAUACCCUGGUAGUCCACACCGUAAACGAUGAAUGCCAGUCGUCGGGUAGCAUGCUAUUCGGUGACACACCUAACGGAUUAAGCAUUCCGCCU
This 501-nucleotide ribosomal RNA is filed under the name uncultured bacterium. RNAcentral describes it as "bacterial SSU rRNA". It matches the Rfam family "Bacterial small subunit ribosomal RNA", at positions 355 to 874 of the family's 1533-position model. The record is from RNAcentral.